UAUUUUUUUUUUUUUUUCAGGGAUCAGAGCUCUCAACAAGCUUCCCGGCCCCUGGCAAACCAGCUAAUCACAUGAGGGAGCCGAUUCAGAUUUAUCAGCCACAGAUACUGCUUGGCACCAGGAAUGCAGGUUGCCCAUGACGAGGAGACGGCCGGGCAGCGAAGAUGCUCCUGGACGCAUCCCGACGCGCGGAGGAAACCACCACCCACGGUCGGGGCCUUCCCUCAAGGGAGCCCCCUGCUCGGCCGCCGCCACCGCCCCCACGGCCCCUGCCCUCCGCGGCCCUGCGUCCACAAACAGGCUGGUGUUUGCGAGGUCGUGCCCGUUGUCGUCUGGGCUCCACGUAGACGGCACCCGACCGCCCUUCCCACACCCCCGGGCAAAUGAAAAACCUAUGACAACCGUCCAGGCGUGUAGCGGCUAAAAUACCAGACCCACGCUCCACAGUGACGGCAGCGUGACCAGGCCCCUCGAGCGUCUCUACCUGGCAGGCUCCCACGGCUCCCACGGCACGUCGACAAGGUCCCAUGGGUUCCUCAGCCCUGGAAUCCAGCCCUGCUCUGCAGCUCUCAGACCACCCCCUGCGCCCCCCGCCCUCCCACCGCUCCCCUCCCAUCCCCCCCCACCCCGUCCCAGGCACACAAACUGACCCUCAGGCCCGUGCAGGAUCCUCUGUAUGGGAUCCCCGUGUACUGGGCCAGGAAUUCUGCUCCCCCAUCUCCUCGAGGAGGGGGGGGCCCUGCUUACAGGUCUCCCCAAAGUCCACACUGCCCUCCUCAGUCCCAGCUCCUCGUCAUAAUCUGAAGUUGUUACUGAUUUGCUUGCAUUUGCUUGCCUCCUGUUCAUCUUCCCACUGGACACAGGCGGUGCACACACUCCCAGCCCCACGCACACACGCACACCCUGGUGCACGCACAGCCCGGCCCGGCCCACAGGGCUGCUCUUCAGCAUUCCUUGAAUGCCAGCCACUUUGUUCUAGGACUAGACGCCGCUUCAGCCUCCAGGCAGGACGUGCCCUCGCUGACCGCCUGGGCUCGCGUGGCUCGGGGGCUGCAGGGUAGUCCACGGGGGACGCGGGCAGCUGGAGCUCAGCGCCAUGGAGACCGGCUCCCUGCCAGCAGAGCGGUCAGCUGCCUGCCCACUCACAGGCUGUCAGCGUCUGGGCCCUGGCUGCCCGCCCACGGCCGGCCCAGGCCCAUCUGAGUCCUUGCUUGCUCGGCCAGAUGUCCAGUAGGCUUUGGACGGAGUUGUCCGACCUGGGGCAGGGCCCAGCGGCUGUCAGAGUCCCCCACGCACCCCCCCACCCAGGACAAGGUCACCACCUGCUAAGCUGGGGGCCGGGAUAGAAAGGCUGGACUCUCUGGCCAGCAGGCCCGGGGCCCACCGGCCGCCCAGAGCUGGGGUCCUCGGCCAGCACCAAGGGCUGUGCUGGGAUGGCCCCGCUGAACCACCCGCCAGCAUCCCUGAGGGCAGGCCCUGCAGUGCGCAGGAAAGCCCUCCCACUCCCACGGCCGAGAAGUACCGACCCCCGCACGUCAGUGGUGGUGCAGUUACACCUGGACUUGGGUUGCCAAGGUCUUCUCCUAAAAUGCAAAUGUUCCUGGUAAGUCAGCCCUCCGCGCUUUCCCAUGAAACUGCAAAUACAGGGAUUUUUCUCCCUAAAGCUCCUAACAAUACCCAAGCCAAGGGGUGAGCAUUCCCAUGGGAAAGGAAGCAGGAACCUCGGAUAGUGGGAAGGAGGGCAACUGUCCCCCUGCCGGGCGCCUUGGGCCCACCAGCACCCGCGGGAAGGGCCAGGCUCCCCCAGCGGCCCAGGUCAGGCGCGUCAGCAGCACGUGAUCAGAGCUGACCGCGGCCCUGCCCCUUCCCCGCUCAGGCUCUGGCUUGCUGACAACCACUUCCACCCCGUUCUAGAACAACGGAGUCUUGGCUGUGUUUCACGGUUUACGGGCUUCGUUUACACGCGCGGCUCUGGGCAGGCUCCGUCCCCCUGCCGAGCCUGGAAGUGGGGGAAUAAUAGCGCGGACACCCCAGGGCCGUUGGGACAGCGCAGGGGGCCCUGCGAGCCGUGAGCCAGCGCCUAGCAGGAAGCGCCUUACGUAACAGCACAGCAACAUCCGUGACUCGGCUGUGGGGCUCGCUCUUCGCGCUCUGCGUCCUCAACCCCAUGAGGAGCCUGCGCGCUGGGAGAGGCCAAGGCGGGGGCGGGGAGCACGGCAGCCAGCGCCCCAGGAGCGCCCCAGCCCCGCAGGGGAGCCCGCCCGGCCCUGCCCACUCGCAGACCUGGAGGUGAACCCGCCCUGGGCCCCUUCACCCCCGCCCUCCGCCUGUGUCCUCCGGAUCCCCCUUUCCCGGCAGCCGAGCCUUGGAAGCCGGGGCCCGCCCGCUCGACCCACCGCAUGGCCUACGGCAGCUGGCGGUCACCAGACCCCCGCAGGCCGGUCGGGCACUUGGGGCCGGCCCUCCCGCGGAGCCUGCGGGCGCCGAGCUCCCUUCCUGCCCAGGGCGCCCACCUCCACUUCACCCGGGACCCUCGGGAGACAGCCCAGAGAGGACGGCCCCACUGACCUCUCCACGCCCACCCACUCUGCCCACCCCUGCCUCGGGCCCCACUCAGCCCCCAGUCCGGGCCCAGCGUGCCGUGAUGAGGCCGACUGGGCCUCCGUGGGCAGUCACGGCGCAGGACUCCCAGCCCCUGAGCCCGCGUCUCAGUUCCUCUUGACUCGCGGUCGGCCCCGACCCUGACCCUCCUGCACGGCCUCCCCCGAUGACCCCACAGCGACACACCAGGAGCCGCAGGCCAAGCCAGCAAAGGAACCAGCACCCGCAUCUCUUACUGACACCAUUCUCUGCCCCCCACUGACUCACCCGGCAGGGUGGGGAGUGACCCGGAGACCAAACCCCUGACCCUCCAGCUGCCCCGGGACCGAGAAAGUGCGCAGCGCAGCCUGGACCCAGCCCGUGACAGGUGCCUCUCAGAGGCCGGGCUCGCGCUAGACAGCCGGCGGCAGGGCGGGUGAUUGUCCACACACUCACACUCCUGCACAUAUAUGCGUGCACAUGUGCUCUCUCCUGAGCCGGGGGCCCUCCGCGGGUCCACUGGGCGGGUGCACACGCGCCCACACACCUACAGGCCCUCGUAUACACACGGGCACAUGCAUGCAUUCACCACGCCGGCUCCCAAGCCCCGGGAACCACCCAGAUACACUCACGCAGGCAUGCGGGUCUAUACUGGGUGCACACCAGGGGCACACGCUUCGUGGCACGUCACUCGUGGUCCCACUGAGCCCCCACGGCUACUCACAACAACCAAUGCUCCCUUGUGGGAAACCCCGAAAUCCCGUUGCGGAGGCUCCGAAGCCACCGGCCAGGCACAGAACCGUCACUUCCAGGGCCACCCUGGGCCCCGGGGGAGGGUGACAAGAUGUCUUCCACUCUGCGGGGAGGGCGCCGGGAGCCCUGGACAGACAAGGGCAGGAGACGGAGCAGAUCUGGCCCACGCGGCAGGACCCCACAGGCUCGAGGACUCAUGAAUUUUUCAGAGGCACCCGAAGCGAAGACUGAAGCUGCCCUCAGGUCCUGGUGGGUCCUGCCCUAAAUUAUUCACAGCCCAGCAGAGUGGUAGCUCCCGGCCGGAGGCCAUUCGGGUGCCAGCUCCCCGAGCCUGGGUCUGAGCUGGCCCUGUGGCCGCCAGGCAGGGCACCUCUCUGGGCCCCCACGUUCUCCUCCACGGCCCAGGUGCGCGAAGCCUUUGGGAGCGCCCACCUGUGUCCCCAGCGUGGGCCUGCAGCCCCGAGGUUGGGCCUCCGCACCCAGGGGCACCGUCGAGCUGUGCCACCAUCACCCACCACAGCCCUGUCCGGCUCCCACAGGGCUCCCCAAGGUGACAUACUGCCCCCCAAGCCCAGUGGACCCUGCCUCCUACCCUGCACGGCAGCCCCUGCCUGAGUGGGAAAGGGCCACCCCCCACUGGACCAAGGACCACCCCCCAGGUCCCCCGUGCCCCAAGCUUGCACCUCCGUCUUACCCCUGCGGCCACUCAGAGCUGGGCAGCGGCAGAGGUAGGAGGGGGGUCAGCGGGCCGCACCGUGAGCGCUGUUUGGUGCGGCUCCUUUCACCACCUGCCUGUCCUUGACGCCUUGCCCCCUGCACUGCUGCUGAGAUCCGCCGCUCUGAGAGUUCAGUCCAGGAACCUCAGGUCCUAAGAACCUUCUAGAAGGCCCUGGAGGUCAAAGCUGUUUCCACAGUAAUACCAAGGUCACAUGAGGGGCUGUGCUGGUUCCCCGCAGCCCCCCCUGGGGUAGGUGCCCCCCCGUCCCGUCCACCCUGUGGGUGUGGGCAGCUCCGUGAACAGCCCGGGUUCACCCCCCCACCCGGCCCAGUGCUGGAUGCAGGGGGAACAGCCUGGGGAGGAGUGCUGCCCCCACGGGGGCCCAGAGCUGCUGCACCCCCACCAGGCUGAGGCCCCGGGUCCCCUGGCCUUCCCAUGGGCCCCACUCUGAGGUUGGCAUGCGGGGGGCGCGAGGCCCAGAACCCUGCUGGGCUUCAGAUCCGAGCGCCUGGACAUUCCUGGGCAUGCCCUCCUCACCUUCUCCCCGAAAGGAGGCCCAAAGCGCUGAUACUCUCCCCAGAAACCCCACGCUGCACCACGGGCAGGACCCUCGUCUGCCUCAGACUCUGGUGGGAACGAGCGAGUGCUCCCACCUCUGCCUCCACACCCUCCCGUGUGCCCUGGCAGAGUCCGUGCCCCUGGCGGGAUCUGUGACCCCAUCCCAGGAACACAGCCCCCUGGAGGGUCCUCAGCAGGGCCCUGCGUCUGGGUGGGGGAGCCAGAGCUGCCAAGAACGGGGACGGAGGGUGAGGGGCUCACUGUGGACCUUCCUCCCCAGUGGGGGCUUAUCUCACUCCUAUGCUGCCCCAGGCUGAGUUUUCUCCUAUGGGGGCCCAAUCCUAACUGGGCCAAGCCUGUAAGGACAACUUCCUGGGGCAGAAAGUAGGGACGCCAGGUCCCCCCUGGCAGUGACAGUAGCGGGGGGAAAGGGGGUGCACGAAGCACCUGGUCUCCUAAGGUAGGGUCGCAGACAAGGUAUAUUGUCAAGUUCAAAUCUCAAAGAACAAAUAUUUCUCAGUGUGAAUACUGGUGUGUUUAUAUUAAAAAACUAUCGACUGUUUAUC
RNAcentral lists this long non-coding RNA (5175 nucleotides) under Canis lupus familiaris (dog). Its description in RNAcentral is "lncRNA (ENSCAFG00000055700.1)". The record is from RNAcentral. Lineage: Eukaryota; Metazoa; Chordata; Mammalia; Carnivora; Canidae.